This 253-nucleotide ribosomal RNA is filed under the name uncultured bacterium. Its description in RNAcentral is "partial 16S ribosomal RNA". It matches the Rfam family "Bacterial small subunit ribosomal RNA", at positions 524 to 776 of the family's 1533-position model. The record is from RNAcentral.
UACAGAGGGUGCGAGCGUUAAUCGGAAUUACUGGGCGUAAAGGGUGCGUAGGUGGUUACGUAAGUUAGAUGUGAAAGCCUCGGGCUCAACCUGAGAAUUGCGUUUAAUACUGUGUAGCUAGAGUGUUGUAGAGGUAAGUGGAAUUUCCGGUGUAGCGGUGAAAUGCGUAGAUAUCGGAAGGAACACCAGUGGCGAAGGCGACUUACUGGACAACAACUGACACUGAGGCACGAAAGCAUGGGGAGCAAACAGG